RNAcentral lists this ribosomal RNA (492 nucleotides) under uncultured bacterium. RNAcentral describes it as "partial 16S ribosomal RNA". It matches the Rfam family "Bacterial small subunit ribosomal RNA", at positions 29 to 507 of the family's 1533-position model. The record is from RNAcentral.
AGUGAACGCUGGCGGUAGGCCUAACACAUGCAAGUCGAACGGCAGCACAGUAAGAGCUUGCCCUUACGGGUGGCGAGUGGCGGACGGGUGAGGAAUACAUCGGAAUCUACUUUUUCGUGGGGGAUAACGUAGGGAAACUUACGCUAAUACCGCAUACGACCUACGGGUGAAAGCAGGGGAUCUUCGGACCUUGCGCGAUUGAAUGAGCCGAUGUCGGAUUAGCUAGUUGGCGGGGUAAAGGCCCACCAAGGCGACGAUCCGUAGCUGGUCUGAGAGGAUGAUCAGCCACACUGGAACUGAGACACGGUCCAGACUCCUACGGGAGGCAGCAGUGGGGAAUAUUGGACAAUGGGCGCAAGCCUGAUCCAGCCAUACCGCGUGGGUGAAGAAGGCCUUCGGGUUGUAAAGCCCUUUUAUUGGGAAAGAAAAGCAGCAGGUUAAUACCCCGCUGUUCUGACGGUACCCAAAGAAUAAGCACCGGCUAACUUCGUG